This 460-nucleotide ribosomal RNA is filed under the name uncultured bacterium. RNAcentral's name for it is "partial 16S ribosomal RNA". It matches the Rfam family "Bacterial small subunit ribosomal RNA", at positions 30 to 507 of the family's 1533-position model. The record is from RNAcentral.
AGCGAACGCUGGCGGCAGGCUUAACACAUGCAAGUCGAGCGGGCACUUUCGGGUGUCCGCGGCGGACGGGUGAGUAACGCGUGGGAACGUGCCCUCUGGUUCGGAAUAACUCAGGGAAACUUGAGCUAAUACCGGAUACGCCCUUUUGGGGAAAGGCUUGCUGCCGGAGGAUCGGCCCGCGUCUGAUUAGGUAGUUGGUGAGGUAACGGCUCACCAAGGCGGGGAUCAGUAGCUGGUCCGAGAGGAUGAUCAGCCACACUGGGGCUGAGACGCGGCCCCGACUCGGGCGGGAGGCCACGGCCGGGACUCUUGGGGGAGGCGCGAGGGGGGAAUAUGGGAAAGGGGCGCAAGGCAAGAACGACCCCGGGUGGGGGAGGGAUAAUGGCAGGAGGGAUAAAAAGUCCUUUAAUCCGGGGCGAUAAUGACGGUACCGGAGAAAUAAGCCCCGGCUAACUUCGUG